This 74-nucleotide transfer RNA is filed under the name Caudoviricetes sp. Its description in RNAcentral is "tRNA-Gly". It matches the Rfam family "tRNA". From Rfam's summary of the family: Transfer RNA (tRNA) molecules are approximately 80 nucleotides in length. Their secondary structure includes four short double-helical elements and three loops (D, anti-codon, and T loops). Further hydrogen bonds mediate the characteristic L-shaped molecular structure. tRNAs have two regions of fundamental functional importance: the anti-codon, which is responsible for specific mRNA codon recognition, and the 3' end, to which the tRNAs corresponding amino acid is attached (by aminoacyl-tRNA synthetases). tRNAs cope with the degeneracy of the genetic code in two manners: having more than one tRNA (with a specific anti-codon) for a particular amino acid; and 'wobble' base-pairing, i.e. permitting non-standard base-pairing at the 3rd anti-codon position. Lineage: Duplodnaviria; Heunggongvirae; Uroviricota; Caudoviricetes. The record is from RNAcentral.
CCAGCAUUGGUGUAGCGGUAGCACAUCAGUCUUCCAAACUGAGAGCGCGAGUUCGAGUCUCGUAUGCUGGUCCA